GUUUAUGGCCAUAUCCCCGAGAAUUCGCCCAAUAUCAUUGAUCUCAGAGGCUAAGCAGGGUCAGACCUAUUUAAUACUUAGAUGGGAGACCACCUGCGAAUACUGGGUGAUGUAGGAU
RNAcentral lists this ribosomal RNA (118 nucleotides) under Monodelphis domestica (gray short-tailed opossum). The record is from RNAcentral. Lineage: Eukaryota; Metazoa; Chordata; Mammalia; Didelphimorphia; Didelphidae.